GGGGGGGGGGGGGGGGGGGCCUGACGCACGCGGGGCGGGCGGGUGGAGGGGGCUUGCUCCUGGAUUCAGCGGCGGACGGGUGAGUAAUGCCUAGGAAUCUGCCUGGUAGUGGGGGAUAACGUCCGGAAACGGGCGCUAAUACCGCAUACGUCCUGAGGGAGAAAGUGGGGGAUCUUCGGACCUCACGCUAUCAGAUGAGCCUAGGUCGGAUUAGCUAGUUGGUGGGGUAAAGGCCUACCAAGGCGACGAUCCGUAACUGGUCUGAGAGGAUGAUCAGUCACACUGGAACUGAGACACGGUCCAGACUCCUACGGGAGGCAGCAGUGGGGAAUAUUGGACAAUGGGCGAAAGCCUGAUCCAGCCAUGCCGCGUGUGUGAAGAAGGUCUUCGGAUUGUAAAGCACUUUAAGUUGGGAGGAAGGGCAGUAAGUUAAUACCUUGCUGUUUUGACGUUACCAACAGAAUAAGCACCGGCUAACUUCGUG
RNAcentral lists this ribosomal RNA (484 nucleotides) under uncultured bacterium. RNAcentral describes it as "partial 16S ribosomal RNA". It matches the Rfam family "Bacterial small subunit ribosomal RNA", at positions 38 to 507 of the family's 1533-position model. The record is from RNAcentral.